RNAcentral lists this small nuclear RNA (108 nucleotides) under Castor canadensis (American beaver). Lineage: Eukaryota; Metazoa; Chordata; Mammalia; Rodentia; Castoridae. The record is from RNAcentral.
GUGCUUGCUUCAGCAGCAUAUAUACUAAAAACUGGAAUGAUACACAGAACACUAGCAUGGCACCUGCAUAAGGAUGAUGUGCAAAUUUGUGAAGUGUUCCAUAUUAAA